AUUGAACGCUGGCGGCAUGCCUUACACAUGCAAGUCGAACGGCAGCGGGGGAGAAGCUUGCUUUUCCUGCCGGCGAGUGGCGAACGGGUGAGUAAUACAUCGGAACGUGCCCUGUAGUGGGGGAUAACUAGUCGAAAGAUUAGCUAAUACCGCAUACGACCUGAGGGUGAAAGUGGGGGACCGCAAGGCCUCAUGCUAUAGGAGCGGCCGAUGUCUGAUUAGCUAGUUGGUGGGGUAAAGGCCUACCAAGGCGACGAUCAGUAGCUGGUCUGGGAGGACGAUCAGCCACACUGGGACUGAGACACGGCCCAGACUCCUACGGGAGGCAGCAGUGGGGAAUUUUGGACAAUGGGCGAAAGCCUGAUCCAGCUAUGCCGCGUGUGUGAAGAAGGCCUUCGGGUUGUAAAGCACUUUUGUCCGGAAAGAAAUGGCUCUGGUUAAUACCUGGGGUCGAUGACGGUACCGGAAGAAUAAGGACCGGCUAACUACGUGCCAGCCGCCACCGUAA
Molecule: ribosomal RNA, 508 nt
Filed under: uncultured bacterium
Lineage: Bacteria
Description: partial 16S ribosomal RNA
Rfam family: Bacterial small subunit ribosomal RNA
Source: RNAcentral